AUUGAACGCUGGCGGCAUGCUUUACACAUGCAAGUCGAACGGCAGCGCGGGGCAACCUGGCGGCGAGUGGCGAACGGGUGAGUAAUAUAUCGGAACGUACCCAGAAGUGGGGGAUAACGUAGCGAAAGUUACGCUAAUACCGCAUACGAUCUACGGAUGAAAGUAGGGGACCGCAAGGCCUUAUGCUUUUGGAGCGGCCGAUAUCUGAUUAGCUAGUUGGUGAGGUAAAGGCUCACCAAGGCGACGAUCAGUAGCUGGUCUGAGAGGACGACCAGCCACACUGGAACUGAGACACGGUCCAGACUCCUACGGGAGGCAGCAGUGGGGAAUUUUGGACAAUGGGCGCAAGCCUGAUCCAGCAAUGCCGCGUGAGUGAAGAAGGCCUUCGGGUUGUAAAGCUCUUUUGUCAGGGAAGAAACGGUAGAGGCUAAUAUCCCUUGCUAAUGACGGUACCUGAAGAAUAAGCACCGGCUAACUACGUG
RNAcentral lists this ribosomal RNA (482 nucleotides) under uncultured bacterium. Its description in RNAcentral is "partial 16S ribosomal RNA". It matches the Rfam family "Bacterial small subunit ribosomal RNA", at positions 30 to 507 of the family's 1533-position model. The record is from RNAcentral.